This 418-nucleotide ribosomal RNA is filed under the name uncultured bacterium. Its description in RNAcentral is "bacterial SSU rRNA". It matches the Rfam family "Bacterial small subunit ribosomal RNA", at positions 29 to 425 of the family's 1533-position model. The record is from RNAcentral.
AACGAACGCUGGCGGCGUGGAUAAGACAUGCAAGUCGAACGCUGAUUCAGGGUAGCAAUAUUCUGGAGUCGGAGUGGCGCAAGGGUGCGUAACACGUGGGUAAUUUGCCGUGAAGUUGGGGAUAACUCGCUGAAAGGCGAGCUAAUACCGAAUGUGAUCAUUGGAAGGCAUCUUCUGAUGAUUGGAAGUUGGGGACCGCAAGGCCUGACGCUUCACGAUAAGCCCGCGGCCUAUCAGCUAGUUGGUGAGGUAACGGCCCACCAAGGCUUAGACGGGUAGCUGGUCUGAGAGGACGACCAGCCACACUGGAACUGAGACACGGUCCAGACACCUACGGGUGGCAGCAGUCGAGAAUUUUUCUCAAUGGGCGAAAGCCUGAAGGAGCGACGCCGCGUGGGGGAUGAAUGGCUUCGGCCCG